CAUCGAUGCACGAGUGCUGAUGCAGCUCGGUGAGCGUAGGUCAGUUCGGCUUUCGAUGCUCGACUGAGCAGGUGUAAUGAAUGGUUUGCUGGGACAGACGGUUUGUAUUCUUGUACCUCCACAACACUACAUGGCGGCAGCGGCGUGCCUCGACAGCCAUGUCUAUAUACUAGCGGAGGCGAUGCACAGCUACUUUCUGGAUGGAGCGCCGAUGUGUCACCACAGCACGGCGUCGGCGUUCGUUUCUUCAACCCCUUUGCGGUGGAACUUCCGGAGAAGCGAGAUUUCAGAAAUCCCGAUGUCUGGAAGAAAUAUAUUACAAGUACGGCACGCUAAAUGAGCUCAAAACAGCGACGACAUAGACUCUACUCGACUUCCCAACGCUUAUCCACUUACUCUUAUAUUCAGCCCUGAAAGAGACCUCCUUGCCGCCUUGCUCUCUGAGCGGCGUCUCUAACCACGUGGGACCGUUUCGGUGCAAUGAAGGCUGCGCAAAAUUAAUUUGGCAUUGCGUGACACCGUCACCGUCUUUCUAUGUUUUUGCUUUCCACGGCUAUUGCUUAAACAUAUAAACACCGUAUUUAUGUCA
Ornithodoros turicata is the source of this 589-nucleotide long non-coding RNA. RefSeq lists it as uncharacterized. NCBI's taxonomy places the organism in Eukaryota, Metazoa, Arthropoda, Arachnida, Ixodida, Argasidae. The transcript has 2 exons. The record is from RefSeq and is a predicted model, not a curated record.